CCUACGGGAGGCAGCAGUAGGGAAUAUUGGACAAUGGGCGCAAGCCUGAUCCAGCCAUCCCGCGUGAAGGAUUAAGGCCCUCUGGGUUGUAAACUUCUUUUCUCUGGGAAUAAAAACCGGUAUUCAUACUGGCUUGAAGGUACCAGAGGAAUAAGCACCGGCUAACUCCGUGCCAGCAGCCGCGGUAAUACGGAGGGUGCAAGCGUUAUCCGGAUUCACUGGGUUUAAAGGGUGCGUAGGUGGCUUUGUAAGUCAGUGGUGAAAUGCCGCAGCUCAACUGCGGAACUGCCAUUGAUACUGCUUAGCUUGAAUCACGUCGAGGUGGAUGGAAUAAUACAUGUAGCGGUGAAAUGCUUAGAUAUGUAUUAGAACACCGAUUGCGAAGGCAGUUCACUAGGCGUGUAUUGACACUGAGGCACGAAAGCGUGGGGAUCAAACAGGAUUAGAUACCCUGGUAGUCCACGCCCUAAACGAUGUAAACUCGACAUUAGCGAUAUACUGUUAGUGUCCAAGCGAAAGCGUUAAGUUUACCACCUGGAAGUACGACCGCAAGGUUGAAACUCAAAGGAAUUGACGGNGNGAGAGAGCGAGACGACGACGAGGGAGGAGG
Molecule: ribosomal RNA, 610 nt
Filed under: uncultured bacterium
Lineage: Bacteria
Description: bacterial SSU rRNA
Rfam family: Bacterial small subunit ribosomal RNA
Source: RNAcentral